CCUACGGGUGGCUGCAGUGAGGAAUAUUGGUCAAUGGACGAGAGUCUGAACCAGCCAUGCCGCGUGAAGGAAGACGGCUCUAUGAGUUGUAAACUGCUUUUGUACGAGGGUAAACGCAGAUACGCGUAUCUGUCUGAAAGUAUCGUACGAAUAAGGAUCGGCUAACUCCGUGCCAGCAGCCGCGGUAAUACGGAGGAUUCAAGCGUUAUCCGGAUUUAUUGGGUUUAAAGGGUGCGUAGGCGGUUGGUUAAGUCAGAGGUGAAAUCCCGAGGCUCAACCUCAGAAUUGCCUCUGAUACUGUUAGUCUUGAGAGUAGUUGCGGUAGGCGGAAUGCAUGGUGUAGCGGUGAAAUGCUUAGAGAUCAUACAGAACACCGAUUGCGAAGGCAGCUUACCAAGCUACUUCUGACGUUGAGGCACGAAAGCGUGGGGAGCAAACAGGAUUAGAUACCCGAGUAGUC
RNAcentral lists this ribosomal RNA (460 nucleotides) under uncultured bacterium. Its description in RNAcentral is "partial 16S ribosomal RNA". It matches the Rfam family "Bacterial small subunit ribosomal RNA", at positions 338 to 795 of the family's 1533-position model. The record is from RNAcentral.